CGGGACGGGUGAGUAACGCGUGGAUAACCUGCCUCACACUGGGGGAUAACAGUUAGAAAUGGCUGCUAAUACCGCAUAAGCGCACAGUACCGCAUGGUACGGUGUGAAAACCCAGGUGGUGUGAGAUGGAUCCGCGUCUGAUUAGCCAGUUGGCGGGGUAACGGCCCACCAAAGCGACGAUCAGUAGCCGACCUGAGAGGGUGACCGGCCACAUUGGGACUGAGACACGGCCCAA
RNAcentral lists this ribosomal RNA (235 nucleotides) under uncultured bacterium. RNAcentral's name for it is "partial 16S ribosomal RNA". It matches the Rfam family "Bacterial small subunit ribosomal RNA", at positions 100 to 334 of the family's 1533-position model. The record is from RNAcentral.